GACGAACGCUGGCGGCGUGCUUAACACAUGCAAGUCGAACGGAAAGGCCCCUUUGGGGGUACUCGAGUGGCGAACGGGUGAGUAACACGUGAGUAACCUGCCCUUGACUUCGGGAUAACUUCAGGAAACUGGGGCUAAUACCGGAUAGGAAUCCUUGCUGCAUGGUGGGGGUUGGAAAGCUUCGGCGGUUUUGGAUGGACUCGCGGCUUAUCAGCUUGUUGGUGGGGUAGUGGCUUACCAAGGCUUCGACGGGUAGCCGGCCUGAGAGGGCGACCGGCCACAUUGGGACUGAGAGGCGGCCCAGACUCCGACGGGAGGCAGCAGUGGGGAAUAUUGCACAAUGGGCGGAGGCCUGAUGCAGCAACGCCGCGGGCGGGAUGACGGCCUUCGGGUUGUAAACCGCUUUCAGCAGGGGCGAAGCUUGUGGUGACGGUACCUGCAGAAGAAGCACCGGCUAACUACGUG
RNAcentral lists this ribosomal RNA (465 nucleotides) under uncultured bacterium. RNAcentral's name for it is "partial 16S ribosomal RNA". It matches the Rfam family "Bacterial small subunit ribosomal RNA", at positions 28 to 507 of the family's 1533-position model. The record is from RNAcentral.